GCAUCGGUGGUUCAGUGGUAGAAUACUCGCCUGCCACGCGGGUGGCCCGGGUUCGAUUCCCGGCCGAUGCA
This 71-nucleotide transfer RNA is filed under the name Limulus polyphemus (Atlantic horseshoe crab). Its description in RNAcentral is "tRNA-Gly". It matches the Rfam family "tRNA". From Rfam's summary of the family: Transfer RNA (tRNA) molecules are approximately 80 nucleotides in length. Their secondary structure includes four short double-helical elements and three loops (D, anti-codon, and T loops). The record is from RNAcentral. RNAcentral also lists the same sequence under 1 other name. Lineage: Eukaryota; Metazoa; Arthropoda; Merostomata; Xiphosura; Limulidae.